This 426-nucleotide ribosomal RNA is filed under the name uncultured bacterium. Its description in RNAcentral is "bacterial SSU rRNA". It matches the Rfam family "Bacterial small subunit ribosomal RNA", at positions 29 to 497 of the family's 1533-position model. The record is from RNAcentral.
AACGAACGCUGGCGGCAGGCUUAACACAUGCAAGUCGAACGGGUGUAGCAAUACAUCAGUGGCAGACGGGUGAGUAACACGUGGGAACCUUCCUAGGGGUACGGAACAACUCAGGGAAACUUGAGCUAAUACCGUAUACGUCCGUAAGGAGAAAGAUUCAUCGCCCCUAGACGGGCCCGCGUCGGAUUAGGUAGUUGGUGGGGUAACGGCCUACCAAGCCUACGAUCCGUAGCUGAUCCGAGAGGANGAUCAGCCACACUGGGACUGAGACACGGCCCAGACUCCUACGGGAGGCAGCAGUGGGGAAUCUUGGACAAUGGGCGCAAGCCUGAUCCAGCCAUGCCGCGUGAGUGAAGAAGGCCUUAGGGUUGUAAAGCUCUUUUACCUAGGGACGAUAAUGACGGUACCUGGAGAAUAAGCCCCGGC